This 254-nucleotide ribosomal RNA is filed under the name uncultured bacterium. Its description in RNAcentral is "partial 16S ribosomal RNA". It matches the Rfam family "Bacterial small subunit ribosomal RNA", at positions 524 to 776 of the family's 1533-position model. The record is from RNAcentral.
UACGGAGGAUCCAAGCGUUUAUCCGGAAUCAUUGGGUUUAAAGGGUCCGUAGGCGGUUUGGUAAGUCAGUGGUGAAAGCCCAUCGCUCAACGGUGGAACGGCCAUUGAUACUGCUAGACUUGAAUUAUUAGGAAGUAACUAGAAUAUGUAGUGUAGCGGUGAAAUGCUUAGAGAUUACAUGGAAUACCAAUUGCGAAGGCAGGUUACUACUAAUGGAUUGACGCUGAUGGACGAAAGCGUGGGUAGCGAACAGG